AUACGGAAGGUGCAAGCGUUAAUCGGAAUUACUGGGCGUAAAGCGCGCGUAGGUGGUUUGUUAAGUUGGAUGUGAAAGCCCUGGGCUCAACCUAGGAACUGCAUCCAAAACUAACUCACUAGAGUACGAUAGAGGGAGGUAGAAUUCAUAGUGUAGCGGUGGAAUGCGUAGAUAUUAUGAAGAAUACCAGUGGCGAAGGCGGCCUCCUGGAUCUGUACUGACACUGAGGUGCGAAAGCGUGGGUAGCGAACAGGAUUAGAUACCCUGGUAGUCCACGCCGUAAACGAUGACAACUAGCUGUUGGGAGACAAUGUCUUUCAGUGGCGCAGCUAACGUUUUAAGUUGUCCGCCUGGGGAGUACGGCCGCAAGGCUAAAACUCAAAUGAAUUGACGGGGACCCGCACAAGCGGUGGAGCAUGUGGUUUAAUUCGAUGCAACGCGAAAAAACCUUACCUACUCUUGACAUACUUGGAAGCUCUUGUAAUGAGAGUGUGCCUUAUGGAACCAAGAUAC
Molecule: ribosomal RNA, 513 nt
Filed under: uncultured Gammaproteobacteria bacterium
Lineage: Bacteria; Pseudomonadati; Pseudomonadota; Gammaproteobacteria
Description: bacterial SSU rRNA
Rfam family: Bacterial small subunit ribosomal RNA
Source: RNAcentral